ACUAAAGUGAUGACAAUGAUACCGCCCCAGUCUGAAUUUUGUGCGGAAACGGUACAACUGAUUUAGU
RNAcentral lists this small nucleolar RNA (67 nucleotides) under Octopus vulgaris (common octopus). The record is from RNAcentral. Lineage: Eukaryota; Metazoa; Mollusca; Cephalopoda; Octopoda; Octopodidae. RNAcentral also lists the same sequence under 1 other name.